Molecule: ribosomal RNA, 446 nt
Filed under: uncultured bacterium
Lineage: Bacteria
Description: bacterial SSU rRNA
Rfam family: Bacterial small subunit ribosomal RNA
Source: RNAcentral
UUCCAGACUCCUACGGGAGGCAGCAGUGGGGAAUAUUGCACAAUGGGGGAAACCCUGAUGCAGCGACGCCGCGUGAGUGAAGAAGUAUCUCGGUAUGUAAAGCUCUCUCAGCAGGGAAGAAAAUGACGGUACCUGACUAAGAAGCCCCGGCUAACUACGUGCCAGCAGCCGCGGUAAUACGUAGGGGGCAAGCGUUAUCCGGAUUCACUGGGCGUAAAGGGAGCGCAGGCGGCACGGCAAGUCUGGUGUGAAAGCCCGGGGCCCAACCCCGGGACUGCAUUGGGAACUGGCGCGCUGGAGUGCCGGAGGGGUAGGCGGAAUUCCUAGUGUAGCGGUGAAAUGCGUAGAUAUUAGGAGGAACACCAGUGGCGAAGGCGGCCUACUGGACGGUGACUGACGCUGAGGCUCGAAAGCGUGGGGAGCAAACAGGAUUAGAUACCCUCGUA